This 501-nucleotide ribosomal RNA is filed under the name uncultured bacterium. RNAcentral describes it as "partial 16S ribosomal RNA". It matches the Rfam family "Bacterial small subunit ribosomal RNA", at positions 30 to 523 of the family's 1533-position model. The record is from RNAcentral.
AUUGAACGCUGGCGGCAGGCUUAACACAUGCAAGUCGAGCGGAGCGAGGGUGCUUGCACCUUAGCUUAGCGGCGGACGGGUUAGUAAUGCUUAGGAAUCUGCCUAUUAGUGGGGGACAACAUUCCGAAAGGGAUGCUAAUACCGCAUACGCCCUACGGGGGAAAGCAGGGGAUCUUCGGACCUUGCGCUAAUAGAUGAGCCUAAGUCGGAUUAGCUAGUUGGUGGGGUAAAGGCCGACCAAGGCGACGAUCUGUAGCGGGUCUGAGAGGAUGAUCCGCCACACUGGGACUGAGACACGGCCCAGACUCCUACGGGAGGCAGCAGUGGGGAAUAUUGGACAAUGGGCGGAAGCCUGAUCUAGCCAUGCCGCGUGUGUGAAGAAGGCCUUUUGGUUGUAAAGCACUUUAAGCGAGGAGGAGGCUACUAAUAUUAAUACUACUGGAUAGUGGACGUUACUCGCAGAAUAAGCACCGGCUAACUCUGUGCCAGCCGCCGCCGUAA